Molecule: long non-coding RNA, 136 nt
Organism: Zingiber officinale
Lineage: Eukaryota; Viridiplantae; Streptophyta; Magnoliopsida; Zingiberales; Zingiberaceae
Exons: 2
Source: RefSeq, a predicted model, not a curated record
AUAAGCCUCUGGAAAUUUAUGAAAUAUUACUCAAGUUAUAGGAGGACUCCUCUAGUUACAUGCAUUAACUGUUUGUUCUAUUAACAAGGAAUAGAGGUUAGGGUGCUUUGCGAAAAAGCUAAGGAGGUUUUAAUGG